UGGAAUUCCAUGUGUAGCGGUNANNUGNGUAGAUAUAUGGAGGAACACCAGUGGCGAAGGCGGCUCUCUGGUCUGUAACUGACGCUGAGGCUCGAAAGCGUGGGGAGCAAACAGGAUUAGAUACCCUGNUAGUCCACGCCGUAAACGAUGAGUGCUAAGUNUUGGAGGGGUUUCCGCCCUUCAGUGCUGCAGCAAACGCANUAAGCACUCCGCCUGGGGAGUACGACCGCAAGGUUGAAACUCAAAGGAAUUGACGGGGGCCCGCACAAGCGGUGGAGCAUGUGGUUUAAUUCGAAGCAACGCGANGAACCUUNCCAGGUCUUGACAUCCUUUGACCACUCUAGANAUAGAGCUUUCCCUUCGGGGACAAAGUGACAGGUGGUGCAUGGUUGUCGUCAGCUCNUGUCGUGAGAUGUUNGGUUANGUCCCGCAACGAGCGCAACCCUUAUUGUUAGUUGCCAUCAUUUAGUUGGGCACUCUAGCGAGANNNNNNGUGACANACCGGAGGAAGGUGGGGAUGACGUCAAAUCAUCANGCCCCUUAUGACCUGGGCUACACACGUGCUACAAUNGGAAGUACAACGAGUCGCUAGACCNCGAGGUCAUGCAAAUCUCUNAAAGCUUCUCUCAGUUCGGAUUGCAGGCUGCAACNCGCNUGCAUGAANCCGGAAUCGCUAGUAANCGCGGAUCAGCACGCCGCGGNGAANNNGUUCCC
RNAcentral lists this ribosomal RNA (714 nucleotides) under bacterium B121CH. Its description in RNAcentral is "partial 16S ribosomal RNA". It matches the Rfam family "Bacterial small subunit ribosomal RNA", at positions 662 to 1375 of the family's 1533-position model. The record is from RNAcentral.